This 624-nucleotide ribosomal RNA is filed under the name uncultured beta proteobacterium. Its description in RNAcentral is "bacterial SSU rRNA". It matches the Rfam family "Bacterial small subunit ribosomal RNA", at positions 48 to 666 of the family's 1533-position model. The record is from RNAcentral. Lineage: Bacteria; Pseudomonadati; Pseudomonadota; Betaproteobacteria.
CUUACACAUGCAAGUCGAACGGGCAGCGCGGGAGCAAUCCUGGCGGCGAGUGGCGAACGGGUGAGUAAUACAUCGGAACGUGCCCAAUCGUGGGGGAUAACGCAGCGAAAGCUGUGCUAAUACCGCAUACGAUCUACGGAUGAAAGCAGGGGAUCGCAAGACCUUGCGCGAAUGGAGCGGCCGAUGGCAGAUUAGGUAGUUGGUGAGGUAAAGGCUCACCAAGCCUUCGAUCUGUAGCUGGUCUGAGAGGACGACCAGCCACACUGGGACUGAGACACGGCCCAGACUCCUACGGGAGGCAGCAGUGGGGAAUUUUGGACAAUGGGCGAAAGCCUGAUCCAGCCAUGCCGCGUGCAGGAUGAAGGCCUUCGGGUUGUAAACUGCUUUUGUACGGAACGAAACGGUCUUUUCUAAUAAAGAAGGCUAAUGACGGUACCGUAAGAAUAAGCACCGGCUAACUACGUGCCAGCAGCCGCGGUAAUACGUAGGGUGCAAGCGUUAAUCGGAAUUACUGGGCGUAAAGCGUGCGCAGGCGGUGAUGUAAGACAGUAGUGAAAUCCCCGGGCUCAACCUGGGAACUGCAUCUGUGACUGCAUCGCUGGAGUACGGCAGAGGGGGAUGGAA